This 560-nucleotide ribosomal RNA is filed under the name uncultured bacterium. RNAcentral's name for it is "bacterial SSU rRNA". It matches the Rfam family "Bacterial small subunit ribosomal RNA", at positions 337 to 915 of the family's 1533-position model. The record is from RNAcentral.
UCCUACGGGAGGCAGCAGUGGGGAAUCUUAGACAAUGGGCGCAAGCCUGAUCUAGCCAUGCCGCGUGUGUGAUGAAGGUCUUAGGAUCGUAAAGCACUUUCGCCAGGGAUGAUAAUGACAGUACCUGGUAAAGAAACCCCGGCUAACUCCGUGCCAGCAGCCGCGGUAAUACGGAGGGGGUUAGCGUUGUUCGGAAUUACUGGGCGUAAAGCGUACGUAGGCGGAUUGGAAAGUUGGGGGUGAAAUCCCAGGGCUCAACCCUGGAACUGCCUCCAAAACUAUCAGUCUAGAGUUCGAGAGAGGUGAGUGGAAUUCCAAGUGUAGAGGUGAAAUUCGUAGAUAUUUGGAGGAACACCAGUGGCGAAGGCGGCUCACUGGCUCGAUACUGACGCUGAGGUACGAAAGUGUGGGGAGCAAACAGGAUUAGAUACCCUGGUAGUCCACACCGUAAACGAUGAAUGCCAGUCGUCGGGCAGUAUACUGUUCGGUGACACACCUAACGGAUUAAGCAUUCCGCCUGGGGAGUACGGUCGCAAGAUUAAAACUCAAAGGAAUUGACG